AGACGUCUACAUUAGAUACCCCCGUAGUCCCAGCCGUAAACUAUGCGCGUUAGGUGUAUCGGUGACCACGAGUUACCGAGGUGCCGAAGGGAAACCGUGAAACGUGCCGCCUGGGAAGUACGGUCGCAAGGCUGAAACUUAAAGGAAUUGGCGGGGGAGCACAACAACGGGUGGAGCCUGCGGUUUAAAUGGACUCAACGCCGGACAACUCACCGGGAACGACAGCAAUAUGUAGGCCAGGCUGAAGACCUUGCCUGAAUCGCUG
RNAcentral lists this ribosomal RNA (265 nucleotides) under uncultured archaeon. RNAcentral describes it as "partial 16S ribosomal RNA". It matches the Rfam family "Archaeal small subunit ribosomal RNA", at positions 714 to 982 of the family's 1478-position model. The record is from RNAcentral.